This 1380-nucleotide ribosomal RNA is filed under the name Enterococcus faecalis. RNAcentral's name for it is "partial 23S ribosomal RNA". It matches the Rfam family "Bacterial large subunit ribosomal RNA", at positions 148 to 1530 of the family's 2925-position model. Lineage: Bacteria; Bacillati; Bacillota; Bacilli; Lactobacillales; Enterococcaceae. The record is from RNAcentral.
UUACUUUUCAGUGAAUACAUAGCUGAUUAGAGGUAGACGCAGAGAACUGAAACAUCUUAGUACCUGCAGGAAGAGAAAGAAAAUUCGAUUCCCUGAGUAGCGGCGAGCGAAACGGGAAGAGCCCAAACCAACAAGCUUGCUUGUUGGGGUUGUAGGACUCCGAUAUGGUAGUCUGUUAGUAUAGUUGAAGGAUUUGGAAAAUUCCGCUAAAGAGGGUGAAAGCCCCGUAGACGAAAUGCUGACAACACCUAGGAGGAUCCUGAGUACGGCGGAACACGAGAAAUUCCGUCGGAAUCCGCGGGGACCAUCCCGCAAGGCUAAAUACUCCCUAGUGACCGAUAGUGAACCAGUACCGUGAGGGAAAGGUGAAAAGCACCCCGGAAGGGGAGUGAAAUAGAUCCUGAAACCGUGUGCCUACAACAAGUCAAAGCUCGUUAAUGAGUGAUGGCGUGCCUUUUGUAGAAUGAACCGGCGAGUUACGAUUGCAUGCGAGGUUAAGUCGAAGAGACGGAGCCGCAGCGAAAGCGAGUCUGAAUAGGGCGAAUGAGUAUGUAGUCGUAGACCCGAAACCAUGUGAUCUACCCAUGUCCAGGUUGAAGGUGCGGUAAAACGCACUGGAGGACCGAACCCACGUACGUUGAAAAGUGCGGGGAUGAGGUGUGGGUAGCGGAGAAAUUCCAAACGAACUUGGAGAUAGCUGGUUCUCUCCGAAAUAGCUUUAGGGCUAGCCUCGGAAUUGAGAAUGAUGGAGGUAGAGCACUGUUUGGACUAGGGGCCCAUCUCGGGUUACCGAAUUCAGAUAAACUCCGAAUGCCAUUCAUUUAUAUCCGGGAGUCAGACUGCGAGUGAUAAGAUCCGUAGUCGAAAGGGAAACAGCCCAGACCACCAGCUAAGGUCCCAAAAUAUAUGUUAAGUGGAAAAGGAUGUGGGGUUGCACAGACAACUAGGAUGUUGGCUUAGAAGCAGCCACCAUUUAAAGAGUGCGUAAUAGCUCACUAGUCGAGUGACCCUGCGCCGAAAAUGUACCGGGGCUAAACAUAUUACCGAAGCUGUGGACUACACCAUUAGGUGUAGUGGUAGGAGAGCGUUCUAAGGGCGUUGAAGGUCGAUCGUGAGGACGGCUGGAGCGCUUAGAAGUGAGAAUGCCGGUAUGAGUAGCGAAAGACAGGUGAGAAUCCUGUCCACCGUAUGACUAAGGUUUCCUGGGGAAGGCUCGUCCGCCCAGGGUUAGUCGGGACCUAAGCCGAGGCCGAUAGGCGUAGGCGAUGGACAACAGGUUGAUAUUCCUGUACCAGUUGUUUUUGUUUGAGCAAUGGAGGGACGCAGUAGGCUAAGGAAUGCAUGCGAUUGGAAGUGCAUGUCCAAGCAAUGAGUCUUGAG